This 305-nucleotide ribosomal RNA is filed under the name uncultured bacterium. Its description in RNAcentral is "bacterial SSU rRNA". It matches the Rfam family "Bacterial small subunit ribosomal RNA", at positions 333 to 636 of the family's 1533-position model. The record is from RNAcentral.
AUGAGCCUACGGGGGGCAGCAGUGAGGAAUAUUGGUCAAUGGACGAGAGUCUGAACCAGCCAAGUAGCGUGAAGGAUGACUGCCCUAUGGGUUGUAAACUUCUUUUAUAUGGGAAUAAAACAGGGUAUGCAUACCCUCUUGUAUGUACCAUAUGAAUAAGGAUCGGCUAACUCCGUGCCAGCAGCCGCGGUAAUACGGAGGAUCCGAGCGUUAUCCGGAUUUAUUGGGUUUAAAGGGUGCGUAGGCGGUCCGUUAAGUCAGCGGUAAAAUUGCAGGGCUCAACCCCGUCGAGCCGUUGAAACUGG